CCUACGGGAGGCAGCAGUUGGGAAUAUUGCACAAUGGGGGAAACCCUGAUGCAGCGACGCCGCGUGAGUGAAGAAGUAUUUCGGUACGUAAAGCUCUAUCAGCAGGGAAGAAAAUGACGGUACCUGACUAAGAAGCCCCGGCUAACUACGUGCCAGCAGCCGCGGUAAUACGUAGGGGGCAAGCGUUAUCCGGAUUUACUGGGUGUAAAGGGAGCGUAGACGGCAGCGCAAGUCUGGAGUGAAAUCCCAUGGCUUAACCAUGGAACUGCUUUGGAAACUGUGCAGCUAGAGUGCAGGAGAGGUAAGCGGAAUUCCUAGUGUAGCGGUGAAAUGCGUAGAUAUUAGGAGGAACACCAGUGGCGAAGGCGGCUUACUGGACUGUAACUGACGUUGAGGCUCGAAAGCGUGGGGAGCAAACAGGAUUAGAUACCCUAGUAGUC
This 440-nucleotide ribosomal RNA is filed under the name uncultured bacterium. RNAcentral describes it as "partial 16S ribosomal RNA". It matches the Rfam family "Bacterial small subunit ribosomal RNA", at positions 338 to 795 of the family's 1533-position model. The record is from RNAcentral.